Molecule: small RNA, 1985 nt
Filed under: Pan troglodytes (chimpanzee)
Lineage: Eukaryota; Metazoa; Chordata; Mammalia; Primates; Hominidae
Description: processed transcript
Source: RNAcentral
UCUUUUCAAGAAGAUCAUUCUUAACAGCUCUCCAUUCCUUGCUGACACACAUGAACUUAGGGGCACUUCUGUUUUCCUGAGGGCUACACCGUUUUCUUUUGAAAGAGUCUGAACAACCCAGUCCUGCCAGCUCCAGCUCCAGCUCCAGCUCCAGCUUCACACCAUCCCAGACCAGGCAACAAGGUCCUUUGAGGUCUAUAAUGAAAGAUCUACAUUCUGAUGACAAUGAGGAGGAAUCAGAUGAAGUGGAGGAUAACGACAAUGACUCUGAAAUGGAGAGGCCUGUAAAUAGAGGAGGCAGCCGAAGUCGCAGAGUUAGCUUAAGUGAUGGCAGCGAUAGUGAAAGCAGUUCUGCUUCUUCACCCCUACAUCACGAACCUCCACCACCCUUGUUAAAAACCAACAACAACCAGAUUCUUGAAGUGAAAAGUCCAAUAAAGCAAAGCAAAUCAGAUAAGCAAAUAAAGAAUGGUGAAUGUGACAAGAUCGUGAACCUUAUAGAAGAAACUGGACACUUUCAUAUCACAAACACAACAUUUGAUUUUGAUCUUUGCUCGCUGGACAAAACCACAGUCCGUAAACUACAGAGUUACCUGGAAACAUCUGGAACAUCCUGAGGAUAUAACAACUGGAUGCAUCAAGAACUAUUGUGUUUUUUUUUUUUGGUUUUUUUUUUUUUUGGUUGUGAUUUUUUGUUCUUGUUGUUUAUAUGAAAACACUCAAAAUGAUGCAACCAAAAGGGAAAAAAUAAAAAUCAAACAACCUUCAGCUUUAUUUUUCUUUAAAGCCAGUCAUCAUCUCUUGAUAAAGGAGAGGUUAAAGCAAACCAGCCUCAGCGGACCACUCUUCUCUCCAAGGAAAUCCCCGGGAAGAGUUAGCCUGGAUAGCCUUGAAAACAAACAAAUCAAACACAACACAAGAAAACUCAAAGAAUGUGUAUGGUAUCAUGUAUCUCUCUGUGGUGGUUCAUUCCACAGGACGAAUGCAUAUUCAACACACUGCCUUAUUACAUAACUGAUCUAUUUAUUAUCGCAUACAGAUAUUCUAAGUCGUUGAGGGAAUGACACCAUCAGACAUUAUAAGUACUUGGUCCCGUGGAUGCUCUUUCAAUGCAGCACCCUUGCCAUCCCAAGCCCAGUGACCUUACUCGUAUACCGUGCCACUUUCCACCAACUUUUUCCAAGUCCUUUAACUCGUUGCAGUCUGUAUUUUCCACCUUUUGUUUUUCCAGUUCCAGGACACAGAUUAUCAACUGGGGGGACCAAAUAGCCACCUUGAUUUUCUUCUUUGUGGUCUUUUUCCUGAAAGUUGGGGCCCAGUCCUUGGCUGUAUCCAUGUAAUGAUCUUGGACCAUGGUAGAAAAUGCACCAAAUAGGAUCAUAUGAAUUGCUGUCUAGCCUUAGUCAAUAAACUUGUAGGACUUUUAAACAAAAGUGUACCUGUAAAUGUCCUGAAUCCAACAUUGUUGAGCUGUCAUCAACAUUCUUGUGUCUGUUUUACUGUUACAAUAUUAGGUGAAUAUGGAAGUAAAGGCAUUCCACAGGAUCAUCGUUUAAAAAAAAAGAAUUCUGGUCCUGUUUUCUAAAAAAAAAAAAACUGUUGUAGAAAUUCUUAAUUUGGAUCUAUUUAUUAGUCAGAGUUUCAGCUUUCUUCAGCUGCCAGUGUGUUACUCAUCUUUAUCCUAAAAAUCUGGAAUCAGAGAUUUUUGUUUGUUCACAUAUGAUUCUCUUAGACACUUUUAUAUUUGAAAAAAUUAAAAUCUUUCUUUGGGGGAAAAUUCUUGGUUAUUCUGCCAUAACAGAUUAUGUAUUAACUUGUAGAUUCAGUGGUUCAAUACCUGUUUAGUUGCUUGCUAAUAUUUCCAGAAGGAUUUCUUGUAUUGGUGAAAGACGGUUGGGGAUGGGGGGAUUUUUUUGUUCUUGUUGUACCCUUGUUUUGAAACUAGAAAUCUGUCCUGUGGCAUGCAAAAGAAAGCAAAUUAUUUU